Molecule: ribosomal RNA, 482 nt
Filed under: uncultured bacterium
Lineage: Bacteria
Description: partial 16S ribosomal RNA
Rfam family: Bacterial small subunit ribosomal RNA
Source: RNAcentral
AUUGAACGCUGGCGGCAUGCCUUACUCAUGCAAGUCGAACGGUAACAGGUCUUCGGAUGCUGACGAGUGGCGAACGGGUGAGUAAUACAUCGGAACGUGCCCAGACGUGGGGGAUAACGAGGCGAAAGCUUUGCUAAUACCGCAUACGAUCUAAGGAUGAAAGCAGGGGACCGCAAGGCCUUGCGCGUUUGGAGCGGCCGAUGGCAGAUUAGGUAGUUGGUGGGAUAAAAGCUUACCAAGCCGACGAUCUGUAGCUGGUCUGAGAGGACGACCAGCCACACUGGGACUGAGACACGGCCCAGACCCCUACGGGAGGCAGCAGUGGGGAAUUUUGGACAAUGGGCGAAAGCCUGAUCCAGCAAUGCCGCGUGCAGGAUGAAGGCCUUCGGGUUGUAAACUGCUUUUGUACGGAACGAAAAGGCUCUGGCUAAUACCUGGGGCACAUGACGGUACCGUAAGAAUAAGCACCGGCUAACUACGUG